Molecule: long non-coding RNA, 975 nt
Filed under: Homo sapiens (human)
Lineage: Eukaryota; Metazoa; Chordata; Mammalia; Primates; Hominidae
Description: CFAP95 divergent transcript
Source: RNAcentral
AGCGACCGGGCUACACAGGUGAUGAAGGGGGGAACUGCAUCCUGGGAUCCGCAGUUUCGCCUGUCCACCCGCCAAAUCCUAAGAGUGGCUGAGCGCAGUUAUUGGGGAGUGGUAGAAACAGGGUUUCACCAUGUUGGCCAUGCUGGUCUCGAACUCCAGAACUCAAGUGAUCCGUCCGCCUCGGUCUUCCAAACUGCUGGGAUUACAGGCGUGAGCCACCGCGCCCAGCCUUUGGGGAAGUUCUUUUUACCGUCCAUCAUCCAUUGCCACCACACCUUCUGCUUACGAGUUAUUUAUAAUAAGUUUAACUAAAAGAGAACGAGAGAACAUCCCCUGAAACCCAAAGUUUGUCAUUCUAUACAGCUUUCCUGCCUGCAAAAGAGGAGGAGCAGACUCAUCCAGCAAAUCACCUAAAAAGUUUGAAGAUCAAAAAGCCUAGCUCCAGUUUCAGAUCCUUCCCCUACCUUUCUGAACACUAGUUUCUUCCUCUGAAAAACGAAAGAGGGAACGGGACCGUAGAGUGGAGUGGGCACAAGAAUCGCAAGUCCCUUCUGGCUAUGACGCUGCAAGACUCUAGGUACAGUUUAGGACUCCGGGCAUUCAGAUCCCCGGGACUUGUCAAGUUCUCCUCAUUGACAUUUUUGAUAUUUCGUGACAACACAAAUUCAUCACAUUUUUGUGCUGUGUGUUAUAUGUGGGAAGGAGAUUUUAAAAAGAUUGCCUUUUGAAGUUAUUGGAUAGCUGUGUUACAGAAGAAAACAUUGCCUUCAAGAAGUUAUUGGAUAGAUAUGUUACAGAAGAAAAGACGUUUGUUUCAUUUUUGACUUUGCAGGAAAAGAAUAUGUAACACAUCAGAAUUCUUCUCUCCUCCCUGGCCUUAGUCGAGUACCUGAGGGGCAUUAAAGCACUUCCUCCUUGCAAUCACUUACCCAGCAUAGUCCUUAAUACAGAUAUCUUCAUUGUUGAAUGAAUGAA